CUUGUCAGAGUGCCAAACGCCAUUUUACAGCUCGACGGAGCAGGAGGACAACAGGCAGGGGGAGACACAUCCUAAUGAACACGUGGUGAUCAGAGAUCUGACCCUAACAUACCAGCAGACGGAGAAGAUGAGUGGUUUAAAAGAUGAGGAAGAGGACACAUCUCCAGUCCCCAGCUGUCUGUCUCUGAAGUGUGACUGGUCUAGAGAUCCACCUCCAUACUUCAGUAAUGAACCUGGACCCUCAGACACAAAAGGGAAGAGGAAGAGUGGUGUUCCUGUGGAGGAGCAGCUGUCCAGC
Long non-coding RNA from Trematomus bernacchii (emerald rockcod), 298 nucleotides. RefSeq lists it as uncharacterized. The record is from RefSeq and is a predicted model, not a curated record. NCBI's taxonomy places the organism in Eukaryota, Metazoa, Chordata, Actinopteri, Perciformes, Nototheniidae. The transcript has 4 exons.